UUCGCCCAAUCCCCGCGUGCGCUCCGCUCCCAAUCCUGGUCGCAGGGUUGGCCACACCUCUCCUUCCUCCCUCGCUCGACAGCGCCGCACCCCCUCCCUCCUUGCUGCUCGUCCGGAUAGCCGCCGGUCGCCGCAUCCCUUCUCCCCCUUCCUCCUCCUUCCUCCUUCCCGCUGGCGCCAACAAGGGGGCCUCCUGCAUGGACGGCCAGGUCUUCGAACCGGGGGUAGAGGAGCAGGGGAGGGCCAAGAAGCCGGCGGUGGGGGUGGAGAAGCCAGGAGGGCCAAGAAGCCAGCGGUGGGUGUGGAGCAACUAGGAGGGCCAAGAAGCCGGCGGUGGGGGUAGAGGAGCAGAGGAGGGCCAAGAAAGCCGGCCGGGAGCACACCACCGUAGGCGUCAAGGGAGCCGUGGACAAGCCGUCAGGAGGAGAAAGCUCCCAGUUUGAGGAGGAGACUACGGCACAGGUUGUGUUUUGAAAUCUAGAUUGAUUUGGUACUGUAUGUGGUGUGGUGUGCCCUUGCCAGGAAUAUCUAAUGUGUGUCAUGACACAAUCAAUUGUAGAGCUGGGAAGCAUGAUGCUCGAUUAGUAGACUGCCGCUUGAGAAGAAGCUUGUCAUAUGUCUCUUCGAGCCGCGGCAGCUAGGGGCCUUCGAAGAACACGGGGUUUGACAUAGCCAUUGAGCAAGUGCAGGAUACAAACCAGAUGUAAACAAAGAGGAUAUGGAUUCAGUACGGCCACGAGUGAAGGAAUGCUGUUCCAAUUUGGAUCUUGGAGAAUGUUUUCUCACUGUGGUUCAGGUUAAACUGUUGUUCUACUGUUCCUACUCAGCCUCCUAAUGUUCUAUGUCUUGAUGCGCCUUCUUCCAGCUUCUCUAUUGGUUUUCUCUUCACACUUAUGUUUGAAUUGAUGGCUAGAAAUACAGAGUGCCAUUUUUUCUUAUGGAGUGAUAAUUAAGAAGACAUACAUAGCUGCAAAGGGAUUGCUCAAAUGAAACAAGUUGCUAAUUUUGUAUCUUUGACACUCAUGGAAAAGGAAAAUUCCUAGGGAUUUGAUUGAUGGAGGCAUCGCUAUUUGUCGCUGGAUUAUCCAUUUUUGCAGCACCAGCAAAGUUGUUUUUGUUUGGAAUGGCCAGUUCUCAAUUUCUAAAUCAGCUAUACUAUACUUCUUGUCAGGUUACAUUAUCUUGCUUCGUUUCAGUCUAUAUGUAGCACAAAAAUACUAGGUGACAUGGUUGGUUUGUAUGUUACACUAAUGAACACCACCAUAAGGAAAAGGGCAUUGCACUUCUUUGUUAAUAUUUGGUCUGUUCCUAUUCGGUGACAUACUAUUCUGGUUGGUUAGCUUCACGCUCUAAAGCUAGGAUUUUAAUUCUUUGAGUGUAAGUAAUGUAUUGUUAUACCAGAUGAAAUAUAUGCAGACACUGCUAACAUGAUUUUUCUUAUAGGCGGAAGUAUAUUUUUUAAAUCCAUCUGUUCAAUUCUUAGGACCAUACUUUACUAGAAGUCCAGAACUAUGUGAUUUGGUAAUUGUGUCAAAGCUCGCCUGGUUGUGCCGUAUUGCAUUGUGAAUGCUAUGUUGUUGGGGAAUCAGCGAGCUUGGUUAUAUUUCUGUGGCUGUCAUGUUAACUGGUGGCCGUAGUGCUUCUUGCUAGCUACGAGUUCUUCUUGUGUGUUUGCUUAGUGGCUUAGUUAUGUGUGUGUGUGUGUGUCCGGGCACCUGUUGUGUUUUUUGCUUGCUUGUUGGUGCGUGCAUGAUUGUUGUGACUGGGCGCUGGUUGUUCGGUGCUGGGCUGCUGAUGGCAUGCUACCUGCUUCGAAAAAAGGAAUGAAAGGAAGCAUUUGUUCAUAGAACAAAUAUAUUGUAAAUUUUUCCAUCGAAAGCCUGCAUAUUUAGCAAGGAAAAGGAGUCUAUAGAGCCUUAGGUUCUUGUUAUAUGUUGAUUUUGCAAAAUUUCUGCAGCUAUAUAUUUGCUCAAUCCAAAAGACAAAUUGUACUCAACCUUCAGUAUAAUGUAUUUCUAAUUGUUCAUAACUGCUUAAUUUUUUGUUGUGAUUUUGCAAGAUAUUGAAAUUAUUGUAUUUCGAAAUUGUUACACUGAUUCCUCGAUGCUCUGUUCAUGGCUUUUUUAUUAUUUUAUCCUUCUUUGCUUUUUUCCUUUCCUACAAGAAGAUGUCGAGUCAUGUAAUAUGUUCAAAGAAGAGAGAAUCUGCAUUUUAUGAAUCCUUUCUUCUUUCUUCAUUGUUACUUCAAGUUAGUGAAUCAUUUAAGUUGUAUUGAGCAGCUUCAUGUGAUGGUUUCUUCGUCUACACAUCUUAUUCAGUCACGAGGCCAGUAAGAUCUUUUGCCUUUUAGGAAAAAGGGAGAUGCCAUUUAGACCUUACUCUUCCAACUUGAUCUUUAACUUGCUACUACUGUUUCUAAGCAUUUUUUAUUUGCUUCAGAGGAUGAGCUCACCUUAUUCAGUGGAUGUGCCAAGUAAAAAAAAUUAGAAACUGAGCAAUUAGUUCCACUCUUAUAUUUUGUACAGCAGUCCAAAUUAUCCAAUAAAUCAUUUGUUAGCAGGGUCAAAUUAUAGAAGUUGAAUCAGUUGUUCCAAAUUACCCAGUGAGACUUAUUCCAUUUGUUUAUCCUUUUGUCCUUUUAAUCAAGAACAAUGUUUAGAGCUUACAUGGUUGUCGAAAUUUAGUUAUGUAAAAGAGGAAUAUUGAUAUCAUGCAAUGAUCAGUGCAGAUUAGGAUAGUUAUAGAGUUCUUCCUCAGUUUUCAUUGAGCAAAGAUUGAAUCUGUAUGAUUUGUUCUAAUACCAAGUAAAUCUUGGUCUGCAUUGUGUUAGUUUUCCCACUGAGUUUUUUUGGCUAUUUUCGUUUAAAUUGGUAGUUGAUGUGAAAAAGUGUGUUGACAUGCAUGUAACCAAAUCAUGUAUUAAUGUGAGGUACUACAUAUACUUGCCUAUCUCUUUCCAGAAGAACAGCCCUCUUGAUCCAACUAGGAACAUCAAAACCAAAUGGGAUAUCAUUGAGUGGACUUCAGAUGGCCAUGCUGCCCUCUAGCUAUAGUCAUGGAAAAGAUGGUGUUCGGAGCUAUAUCUUGGAAAAUAUUUCUUGUCAUUCCAUUAAAUUUCGGAGAUAUGGAGGAGCUGGACAUGGAUGGCGAGAAGGCGGCCAGACCAGAGUUCGCCUACCCCUACUGCUAUGAGGACCAUGAGGUUGCCUCCUUGUGCGCGCAUGUAGAAGAGGAGCACCCAUUGGAGUGGAGAUAUAGUUUGCACAAUGUUCUGGUCCAGCAAAGUAUUUUAGAUGUGCAAAAGAGUAGUGUCUUGGGGUAGAAAAUUAAUAUUGAUCUUGAAACCUUGAGAUAGAAAAAAGAGCUUUUCACAUUUGUUGCUGUUGAGUCCUGACUAGCAAUUAUAUAACCCUCAGGCCUCAGUAGCAAUUAUGUUACCUUCUUAUUUGUUCUCAGGUUACUUGCCUUCUUCUUUCAACCCAUCUCUCUAAGAAUUAUAGUGCAGGUUUUGUAGGGCAGGUUAAAGAACCCAAUACAAUGCUCUUUGAGUCGAGUUUUUUUAUAUUCGCUGGCA
Triticum dicoccoides is the source of this 3574-nucleotide long non-coding RNA. RefSeq lists it as uncharacterized. The transcript has 9 exons. NCBI's taxonomy places the organism in Eukaryota, Viridiplantae, Streptophyta, Magnoliopsida, Poales, Poaceae. The record is from RefSeq and is a predicted model, not a curated record.